Long non-coding RNA from Bombus pyrosoma, 1485 nucleotides. RefSeq lists it as uncharacterized. The transcript has 3 exons. Lineage: Eukaryota; Metazoa; Arthropoda; Insecta; Hymenoptera; Apidae. The record is from RefSeq and is a predicted model, not a curated record.
UUGUACUCUCCCCUAUCUAUGCACCGUUUCUCGACAAUUAUCGACCCAUCCGGACGCCAAUCGAUAUUGAUUGCCAAGAAUUCCGGUUGAAUGGAAUUAAUAGAAACUAGUACUUUGUAAUAGAAACGAAAAAUAUCGUUUCUCGUUUGUGAAAAAAUUCUUUCGCUUAUAUUUCCUAAGAAGAUACACGUUUUACAACUUGUCAUUCUUUCUUUCCAGUUUGGAUGACCACUAGGAUUUCGUGGUUUGACUCGAAUAAACAUUUUUGUACGUGAAUGUGUGUUUCAUAAUAUAAUUACAGUACGUUUUGUUGCAUAUUUUUGACACUAUGAUUGUCAAAUAAAUAGAAAAGACACGAAUGAAAAAAAGAAUUUUGUAAAAGUCGAGGACUUGGAAAAUUAUAAUGGGCAAAGGAAAGGCGCACAUUCUGCGGAACGUUGUUUCAAGCAACAAGUAAAAUUCUGACAAUUUUCGCGAGCUUUAUCGCCUUUGAAUCAUUCAACGUGCUUUAAAAUCGACUCUGUUUCCGGGAGUAAACGAGCAAAAAGGUAACUUACAAUAGAGAGAAGAGAAACGUGAAAGGUCUGUAGAAUCUUGAAAAUAAAUUUACCUGCUUCGGCAACACUGAAUAGGCGGUAUUGUCGCAAAAUCCAUUCUUCAAGCACACGUGUGUACGUAUAGCGUAUAUGCGUGUUUAUAUAUAUAUAUAUAGUUGGCUUUCUACUCUACGCAAUACUAGACACUCUGCUUUAUACCUUGCCUCGUAAUUAAUAAUUAACUUUCCAUUUUUCAUCCCGACUCCUUCCCCUUCGUUUUGGAGGAGGACAAAAGAACGUUGCGUUUCCUCGUAUAAAUAUUAAAACGGGGUAGCUUCGUUAACGGCACGAAACGCGUGGAGGGACAGUGUACGAAGAAAAUAGGUCGAUAUAAAUAAUGACAGGCACUGAAGCAGAAAAUUAAAAGCUAUUAUUCCAAGUGAUUCAGGGUAAAACAGUUCUCGGAACAUUUACCCGCAUAAUGGAUAACAGAUUCAUUCGCAAUAAAUCUGUAGAUGUGUAUUUUAAUUGGUACCACAGAGGAAGUGGUUAUUCGUUUUACGAUAUAAUAUUCCUUUUGCUACGAAAUUAAAUAAUUAAUGCGAGUAUAAAAGGAUAGUGCAAGUUUCGUAUGUGUAUGGUUAACAAGACAGUUCCAAACAAUUCUACGUUAUGUCGAUACAAUAAGCCGGAUAAUAGGUACACAGUAAACACAGGAUAGAAGUUUAGAAUAAUCGACGUACGACAGAUCGAUACGAUUCUUAUUCGCAUUCGUAUUGAUAAUAUUACAAUUCCUUGUUCAUCUUAGACGAAUAACAAUAGCUGGUGGCAGCUGUAAGAAAGAAUGACAGAAGUAUCGAGAAAAGAGCAGUAUGAUACUGUUGCCGUAAUAUUCAUAUUUUAUCGUAAUUUGUAGAACAUUCGUAUCAUAUGAAAUUUUCAAAUAUUU